RNAcentral lists this ribosomal RNA (1479 nucleotides) under Triticum aestivum (bread wheat). Its description in RNAcentral is "partial small subunit ribosomal RNA". The record is from RNAcentral. Lineage: Eukaryota; Viridiplantae; Streptophyta; Magnoliopsida; Poales; Poaceae.
AUGCCGAUGCCGAUGCCGCCGGCGCUCCCGUGCUUGCUCCUCCUCCUGCUUGUCGCCCCUCUCCUCGCGACGCCCACCACGAUCCCGCUCUACCGCCACCUCCCGCCGCUCCCGCCCGCCGCCGCGCAGCACCACCCGCUCUCCCGCCUCGCCCAGGCCUCCCUCGCGCGCGCCUCCCGCCUCAGAGCCGGCCACGGUCACCACCAAGGCCAAGCCUCCGCCUCAACCCCCGUGCGCGCCGCGCUGUACCCGCACUCCUACGGCGGCUACGCCUUCUCCCUCUCCCUCGGCACGCCGCCGCAGCCGCUGCCGGUGCUGCUCGACACGGGCAGCCACCUCACCUGGGUGCCCUGCACAUCCAACUACCAGUGCCAGAACUGCUCCAGCGCCGCCGCCGCCGGCUCCUUCCCCGUCUUCCACCCCAAGAGCUCCUCCUCCUCCCUCGUCGUCUCCUGCAGCAGCCCCUCCUGCCUCUGGAUCCACUCCAGGUCCCACCUCUCCGACUGCGCCCGCAACUCCGCCCCCUGCAGGCCCAGCACCGCCAACUGCUCCGCCACCGCCAAGAACGUCUGCCCGCCCUACCUCGUCGUCUACGGCUCCGGCUCCACCGCGGGGCUCCUCGUCUCCGACACGCUGCGCAUGUCGCCACGGGGCGCCGCCAUGCGCAACUUCGCCGUGGGCUGCAGCCUCGCGUCCGUGCACCAGCCGCCGUCGGGGAUCGCGGGGUUCGGCCGCGGCGCGCCGUCCGUGCCGGCGCAGCUCGGGGUCAACAAGUUCUCCUACUGCCUCCUCUCGCGCCACUUCGACGACGACGCCACCGUCAGCGGCGAGCUCGUCCUCGGCGCCUCCUCCGCCGGCAAGGCGAAGGCGAUGCAGUACGCGCCGCUGCUCAAGAACGCGGGCGCCAGGCCGCCAUACUCCGUGUACUACUACCUGUCGCUGGCCGGCAUCGCGGUGGGCGGGAAGAGCGUGGCGCUCCCGGCGCAGGCCUUCGCGCCCGUGUCCGGCGGCGGCGGGGGCGGCGCCAUCAUCGACUCCGGCACGACCUUCACCUACCUGGACCCGACGGUGUUCAAGCCGGUGGCGGCGGCGAUGGUGGCCGCGGUGGGGGGCAGGUACAACCGGUCCAAGGCCGUGGAGGACGCGCUGGGCCUGCGCCCCUGCUUCGCGCUCCCGGCGGGCGCCAAGACCAUGGACCUCCCCGAGCUGUCGCUCCGCUUCACGGGGGGCGCCGAGAUGCGGCUCCCGAUCGAGAACUACUUCCUGGCGGCGGGCCCGGCGUCCGGCGAGGCCCCCGAGGCGAUCUGCCUGGCCGUGGUGUCGGACGUGUCGAGCGCGAGCGGCGGCGCCGGGGUGUCCGGCGGGGGCGGGCCGGCCAUCAUCCUGGGCAGCUUCCAGCAGCAGAACUACCACGUGGAGUACGACCUGGAGAAGAACCGGCUCGGGUUCCGGCCGCAGCCCUGCUCCUCGUCGUCGUAG